RNAcentral lists this non-coding RNA (29 nucleotides) under Mus musculus (house mouse). The record is from RNAcentral. Lineage: Eukaryota; Metazoa; Chordata; Mammalia; Rodentia; Muridae.
UUACAAUGGUGCCCAUAGAAUUCCCCAGA